Molecule: ribosomal RNA, 447 nt
Filed under: uncultured bacterium
Lineage: Bacteria
Description: bacterial SSU rRNA
Rfam family: Bacterial small subunit ribosomal RNA
Source: RNAcentral
UGGGGAAUAUUGGACAAUGGGCGAAAGCCUGAUCCAGCCAUGCCGCGUGAGUGACGAAGGCCUUAGGGUUGUAAAACUCUUUCGUCGGGGACGAUAAUGACGGUACCCGAAGAAGAAGCUCCGGCUAACUUCGUGCCAGCAGCCGCGGUAAUACGAAGGGAGCUAGCGUUGUUCGGAAUCACUGGGCGUAAAGCGCACGUAGGCGGAUAGUUAAGUCAGGGGUGAAAUCCUGGGGCUCAACCCCAGAACUGCCUUUGAUACUGGCUGUCUCGAGGUCGAGAGAGGUUGGUGGAAUUCCUAGUGUAGAGGUGAAAUUCGUAGAUAUGUGGAGGAACACCGAUGGCGAAGGCAGCCCCCUGGGUUAACACUGACGCUGAGGCUCGAAAGCGUGGGGAGCAAACAGGAUUAGAUACCCAAGUAGUCCCUGAGCGGGCUGGCAAGGCGCAU